This 72-nucleotide transfer RNA is filed under the name Lasius niger. It matches the Rfam family "tRNA". From Rfam's summary of the family: Transfer RNA (tRNA) molecules are approximately 80 nucleotides in length. Their secondary structure includes four short double-helical elements and three loops (D, anti-codon, and T loops). Lineage: Eukaryota; Metazoa; Arthropoda; Insecta; Hymenoptera; Formicidae. The record is from Rfam by way of RNAcentral. RNAcentral also lists the same sequence under 1 other name.
UCCCAUGUGGUCUAGUGGUUAGGAUACCUGGCUUUCACCCAGGCGGCCCGGGUUCGAUUCCCGGCAUGGGAA